This 24-nucleotide non-coding RNA is filed under the name Arabidopsis thaliana (thale cress). The record is from RNAcentral. Lineage: Eukaryota; Viridiplantae; Streptophyta; Magnoliopsida; Brassicales; Brassicaceae.
UACACUCCUAUUUCCCUUUGUCCU